CCUCUCCGAGCCCCACCCCCCCAACAGACACACUCCUUCCUCACUUUUCUACCAGGCUGCCUAACGACAGUGAGACAGAGAGAAGAAAGCCCGAUCCUGUUUGUCCCUAGUGCCUGAGGACACACUAAGAACAUCUCCGAGCUACCCCCACACCGCGGCCAAGCCCCGAUCCUGCGACACCCAGAGCCACCCAGCCGCCCGGCUGCCCCCAACUUCUCACCCUGGGAGCAAACCCCCAGUGGGCUCAGAAACGCCCUUCCCCCAGAACAGAGCUACAGCAACAAGACAAGAGAAAGAAGUUAAAGAUACAAGCACUGGCAAAGAAGAGACCAAAUUAUUCCUCUGUGAAGAUGUCACAAUGGCUUACUUAGAAAACCCCAGAGAAUCAGUGAAGAAGCUAAUUAAGAUGAUCAAUUCAAUUAUAGUUUUUGAGAUUGUCGUUUUUCAGUUGUGUCCAACUCUCUGUAACCCCCUUUUGGGGGUUUUCUUGGCAAA
Molecule: non-coding RNA, 495 nt
Organism: Phascolarctos cinereus (koala)
Lineage: Eukaryota; Metazoa; Chordata; Mammalia; Diprotodontia; Phascolarctidae
Source: RefSeq, a predicted model, not a curated record